This is a non-coding RNA of Zopfochytrium polystomum, 94 nucleotides long. Lineage: Eukaryota; Fungi; Chytridiomycota; Chytridiomycetes; Chytridiales; Chytridiaceae. The record is from the annotation of a GenBank genome assembly.
GCCUUCUUGGCUCAGUUGGCAGAGCGUCUCCCUAGUACCAGGAGUGAAUCCUGACGGCAGGAGAAGGUCACCAGUUCGAUUCUGGUAGAAGGCA